This 258-nucleotide ribosomal RNA is filed under the name Staphylococcus aureus. RNAcentral describes it as "partial 23S ribosomal RNA". It matches the Rfam family "Bacterial large subunit ribosomal RNA", at positions 26 to 281 of the family's 2925-position model. Lineage: Bacteria; Bacillati; Bacillota; Bacilli; Caryophanales; Staphylococcaceae. The record is from RNAcentral.
GGAUGCCUUGGCACUAGAAGCCGAUGAAGGACGUUACUAACGACGAUAUGCUUUGGGGAGCUGUAAGUAAGCUUUGAUCCAGAGAUUUCCGAAUGGGGAAACCCAGCAUGAGUUAUGUCAUGUUAUCGAUAUGUGAAUACAUAGCAUAUCAGAAGGCACACCCGGAGAACUGAAACAUCUUAGUACCCGGAGGAAGAGAAAGAAAAUUCGAUUCCCUUAGUAGCGGCGAGCGAAACGGGAAGAGCCCAAACCAAGAAG